CCCCACUGCUACCGGGAUGGGACUAAGACAUGCUAGUCGAGCGUCUCCAAGCUAUGGAAGAGACGCGGCAUACAGCUCAGUAACACGUGGCUAACCUGCCCUUGGGACAAGGACAACUCCGGGAAACUGGGGCUAAUCCCUGAUAGGUGAGAACUCCUGGAAUGGAUUCUCGCUGAAAGGACGUUUAGACCAUGCUUCUAGGCGUCGCCCAAGGAGGGGGCCGCGACCGAUCAGGUUGUUGGUGAGGUAACGGCUCACCAAGCCUUUAACCGGUACGGGCCGUGAGAGCGGGAGCCCGGAGAUGGGCACUGAGACAAGGGCCCAGGCCCUACGGGGCGCAGCAGUCGCGAAACCUCCGCAAUACACGAAAGUGUGACGGGGCUAUCCCGAGUGCCAUCCGCUGAGGAUGGCUUUUCCCCAGUGUAUAAAGCUGGGGGAAUAAGGAGAGGGCAAGCCUGGUGUCAGCCGCCGCGGUAAUACCAGCUCUCCGAGUGGUGGGGAUGUUUAUUGGGCCUAAAGCAUUCGUAGCCUGCUUGGCAAGUCCUCCGUUAAAUCCAACGAUUCAAUCGUUGGGCUGCGGGGGAUACUGUCCGGCUAGGGGGCGGGAGAGGCCGACGGUAUCCCCGGGGUAGGGGUGAAAUCCUAUAAUCCCGGGAGGACCACCAGUGGCGAAGGCUGUCGGCUAGAACGUGCUCGACGGUGAGGGAUGAAAGCUGGGGGAGCGAACCGGAUUAGAUACCCGGGUAGUCCCAGCUGUAAACGAUGCAGGCUAGGUGUUGGCGCGGCUACGUGCCGCUCCAGUGCCGCAGGGAAGCCGUUAAGCCUGCCGCCUGGGAAGUGCGGCCGCAAGGCUGAAACUUAAAGGAAUUGGCGGGGGAGCACCACAAGGCGUGAAGCUUGCGGUU
Molecule: ribosomal RNA, 905 nt
Filed under: uncultured crenarchaeote
Lineage: Archaea; Thermoproteati; Thermoproteota
Description: bacterial SSU rRNA
Rfam family: Archaeal small subunit ribosomal RNA
Source: RNAcentral